This 449-nucleotide ribosomal RNA is filed under the name Blastocystis sp. subtype 1. RNAcentral's name for it is "SSU rRNA". It matches the Rfam family "Eukaryotic small subunit ribosomal RNA", at positions 477 to 942 of the family's 1831-position model. Lineage: Eukaryota; Bigyra; Opalinata; Blastocystidae. The record is from RNAcentral.
ACAAUGCGGGACUAUUCGUCUUGCAAUUGGAUUGAGAACAAUGUACAACUCUUAUCGAUAAGCCAUUGGAGGGCAAGUCUGGUGCCAGCAGCCGCGGUAAUUCCAGCUCCAAUAGCGUAUAUUAACGUUGUUGCAGUUAAAAAGCUCGUAGUUGAAGUGUGGGUGAUCGCUGUUGUGAGACUUCGGUCUCUCGACAGUAAGUCACCCCCUUCCAGUAUCCAGUAGUGGGUAUUCAGUUACUUACUAUUGUGUGUUGGUCGUUUACUGUGAGAAAAUUAGAGUGUUCAAAGCAGGCGUUUGCUUGAAUAGAUUAGCAUGGAAUAAUAAUUGAAGGCUUUCGUGUUCGAUUUGAUUGGUUUGUUCAUGGAAGCAAGGUUAAAAGGAACAGUUGGGGGUAUUCAUAUUCACUAGUUAGAGGUGAAAUUCUCGGAUUUAUGGAAGAUGAACAA